GAGGGUAUAGCUCAAGUGGUAGAGCACAUGCUUAGCAUGCACAAGGUCCUGGGUUCAAUCCCCAGUACCUCCA
Camelus ferus (Wild Bactrian camel) is the source of this 73-nucleotide transfer RNA. It matches the Rfam family "tRNA". From Rfam's summary of the family: Transfer RNA (tRNA) molecules are approximately 80 nucleotides in length. The record is from Rfam. Lineage: Eukaryota; Metazoa; Chordata; Mammalia; Artiodactyla; Camelidae.